UCCAGAACCAGCUGCUAAACAAGACGAACCCACUAAAGAUUCACCCGAGACCACAAAGGCAAAACCUCCUCCUAAUCCGUUAUUUGGUGAUGAUGAUGAUGACGAUAAAGAUGAGUGGUGGAAUUAGGAAAUUUAAAAACAAUCUUCUAUACAACUGUGUGUUUGGGUGGGCGUGUCUAUGGCCGAUUUAUUAUUAUUAUUAUUAUUAUUGUUGUUUGUGAUUAGUCAAUUAUUGUGCGUGUGUGCUUUUGUGAGCUGCUGUGUUUGUUUCUUUUUUUAAAUUGAGUACCUUUCAAGUUUUUUGAAAGACAUUCCUUUUGUACAAUAA
Long non-coding RNA from Amphimedon queenslandica, 328 nucleotides. RefSeq lists it as uncharacterized. Lineage: Eukaryota; Metazoa; Porifera; Demospongiae; Haplosclerida; Niphatidae. The record is from RefSeq and is a predicted model, not a curated record. The transcript is spliced from 2 exons.